GGAGAAUCAAUAAGUAGGCAGUAAUCUUUCCUCUUUGCAAUUCUCAAGAAAAAUAUUAAAGCAAAAGGAGUUUAAGAGACGAGCAAGACGUCCUUCCUUUAUUCCCUUGCCACCCACUAUAGAGAGAAGAAAGAAGAGGGUUCUCACUGUCCCCCUCCAUAGGUGGUCACAUCUCCUCCUUUGCAAAAGGGUUCAGCUUUAAGCGGAUGGAAUGGAAUAAGAAUAUGGUUGAUGUUUUGCCCUUUAAUUGGAGGAUCAAUAUUCCCUUUUGUUAUCACUCUCCCAUGCUGAUAAGAAUUCCACCAGAAACAGGAUAGAUGCUAAAUGAAAUACCAGGUUCAGCUUCUAAUAAAGAUG
This 357-nucleotide unclassified non-coding RNA is filed under the name Hevea brasiliensis (rubber tree). Lineage: Eukaryota; Viridiplantae; Streptophyta; Magnoliopsida; Malpighiales; Euphorbiaceae. The record is from RNAcentral.